AUUUGCAGUGUAAAAAAGCUCCAUUUCCAUGGCGGCAGAUACUGUAACGAACCUUGAACCGAUUCAUACCUUCUUCAAGAACCUCGAAGCUCGACAGACCUUACUCACCACCAUAACUGACCUCAACAAAGCCCUAACCACCCAUUUCACCAACAUAAACAAUACUCUCUGUCAAAAAUCGGAAACCCUCGAUACUCAUGUCAAAAUUUUCAAGGAUAAGACGGAAGAUGCAUUACUGAAGAUCCAGAAUCGAGAGAAUGCCUUACCCGAUCGGGAAUCGAGCAUGGGUGCUCGAAUUGUGGAGAUGAAGGAUGCUGCUAUCUCUGAGAUUGAGAGUUUGGGGGAUUUAAGCGAGAAAAGCUUGGCUGAAGUGUUGAGGAGUUACUGUAAGAGAAUGGAUGCUAGCGGCCUUGUUGGAUUUAUUCAGACUAAGAGGAAGGAGCCUACGGGUUUGAGGAUGGAGAUUGCUGCUGCACUUGAAAGUUCUGUGGAUCCAAUGAGGUUGAUCUUGGAUGCAGCAGAGGAGUUUGUGGGGAGGAAGGUAGAGAAGAAGGCGAUACUGGCAGAUAGGAGGUGGGCUUGUGAUAUGUUAAUUCAGUCAGUUGUGCCAGCUGCGGAAGGGGGUUAUGGUGCAGGGAGGAGUUUGAAGGAGAGGGCAGCAAGGGUGUUGGAGAAAUGGAAGGGAGUUUUGGGCGGUGGGGACAGAAGCAGUGGAGUUUGCGCUGCUGAAGCAACAAUGUUUUUGCAGUUGGUUAUCGCAUUUGCGCUAAAAGAGAGGUUUGAGGAGGAGUUCCUUAGGAAGCUGGUGCUGGAAUUUGCUAACAGGAAAGAUAUGCCAAAGCUUGCCGUUGCCUUUGGAUUUGGUAACAAAAUAGGAGAUAUUAUUGAAGAGCUGUUGAAGAGCGGCAAAGAGGUUGAAGCAGUUUAUUUUGCUACAGAGUCUGGAUUAUCAGAGAGAUACCCUCCACUCUCACUUCUUAAGUUAUCUCUCAGGAACUGCCGAAGAAAUGCUAAUAACAUAUCAAAGAAGGGAAAAUUUAGUUCAGCUGCAGUGGACAAAGCUAACAGCAUAGAGUUGGAAGCUACUAAGGCUUUAAUAAAAUGUGUGGAAGAUCACAAGCUUGAACAAGAAUUUACUUUAGAAGGACUUAAACAACGGGUAACUGAGUUGGAGCAGGCCAAAGCAAAAAAGAAAAUGGGCACAACUCCUGAGAACAAACCUUCAAAAAAGCGGGGUCGUGGAGGUGGCACUGGCAGGUCCAGUGGUCCGUCCACCUCUCGGCCUGUUAAAUCUGGAAGAUCAUCAAAUGCCACAGCUUUCCGCUCCAGGAAUCCUCCUCAAUCACAUCAGGCUCCACCAAUUAGGUAUACAGGGGCACAUAGCUACACCAGCCAGAGUGUAUAUGAGGCACCUAGCGCGGUCUCAUAUGCUCCAGCUUAUAGCGGUACUCACACUCAAAGUCCAGCUAUACUUGCUCCACAAUAUGGAUAUGCACUUCAAGAAGCUGGAGUUAGUGGAGUGCGGAGUUAUCAUGGAUCAUAUGGAGGGGAGGCUGGUUAUAGUGCAUAUGAUUAUGCUCUCACUCCUGCGGCGCCUGCAUACCCACCUUCAUACCCCCCACAGUAGUACCAACUACUCAAAAAGAAUCCAGAUGACAUUUGUAGCUGCACCUUCUGUUUUAUACAUAGAAGAUGCAAGUUCUGAAAGUUUUGCGGUGCAGAAGGAAGUGUUAUAGAUGGAUAUUGAUUCACCUCUUCUGUAGCAUGUUUUAAGGUGUACCUUUAAUGCUAAAACUAUGUAUAGUUUAUUGAGGAAUGUAGUGGUUCAUUUUAACUUAAAAGUCUGUAAAACCAUCUUUGUUAUUCCACAUUGUGAAGAAAAUGAAACUUUUCAGUUUGCAAUGUCUCAAAUAUAAUUUACAAGUGGUUUU
This is an RNA transcript of Solanum verrucosum, 1931 nucleotides long. It is a transcript of the gene named FRIGIDA-like protein 4a, with no coding region annotated. NCBI's taxonomy places the organism in Eukaryota, Viridiplantae, Streptophyta, Magnoliopsida, Solanales, Solanaceae. The transcript is spliced from 5 exons. The record is from RefSeq and is a predicted model, not a curated record.